Molecule: ribosomal RNA, 497 nt
Filed under: uncultured bacterium
Lineage: Bacteria
Description: partial 16S ribosomal RNA
Rfam family: Bacterial small subunit ribosomal RNA
Source: RNAcentral
GAUGAACGCUGGCGGCGUGCCUAAUACAUGCAAGUCGAGCGAACAGACGAGGAGCUUGCUCCUCUGACGUUAGCGGCGGACGGGUGAGUAACACGUGGAUAACCUACCUAUAAGACUGGGAUAACUUCGGGAAACCGGAGCUAAUACCGGAUAAUAUGUUGAACCGCAUGGUUCAAUAGUGAAAGACGGUUUUGCUGUCACUUAUAGCUGGAUCCGCGCCGCAUUAGCUAGUUGGUAAGGUAACGGCUUACCAAGGCAACGAUGCGUAGCCGACCUGAGAGGGUGAUCGGCCACACUGGAACUGAGACACGGUCCAGACUCCUACGGGAGGCAGCAGUAGGGAAUCUUCCGCAAUGGGCGAAAGCCUGACGGAGCAACGCCGCGUGAGUGAUGAAGGUCUUCGGAUCGUAAAACUCUGUUAUUAGGGAAGAACAAAUGUGUAAGUAACUAUGCACGUCUUGACGGUACCUAAUCAGAAAGCCACGGCUAACUACGUG